UCAGGCCUAACGCAUGGGCUCGAACGCCCUCUUCGGAGGGAGUGGCAGACGGGUGACUAACGCGUGGGAACCUACCCUUUAGAACGGAAUAAUCCAUGCCAACCUGGCCUAGUACCGGAUAUUCCCUUCGGGGGAAAGAUUUAUCGCUAAAGGAUGGGCCCGCGUCAUAUUAGCUAGUUGGUGGGGUAAUGGCCUACCAAGGCUACGAUCUGUAGCUGGUCUGAGAGGAUGAUCGGCCACACUGGGACUGAGACACGGCCCAGACUCCUACGGGAGGCAGCAGUGGGGAAUCUUGGACAAUGGGCGCAAGCCUGAUCCAGCCAUGCCGCGUGAAUGAUGAGGGCCUUAGGGUCGUAAAAUUCUUUCGCCAGGGAAGAUAAUGACGGUACCUGGUAAAGAAGCCCCGGGUAACUCCGUGCCAGCUGCCGCGGUAAUACGGAGGGGGCUAGCGUUGUUCGGAAUUACUGGGCGUAAAGCGUGCGUAGGCGGAUCAUUAAGUUGGGGGUGAAAUCCCGGGGCUCAACCUCGGAACUGCCCUCAAAACUGGUGAUCUAGAGUUUGGUAGAGGUAAGCGGAAUUCCGAGUGUAGGGGUGAAAUCCACAGAUAUUCGGAGGAACACCAGUGGCGAAGGCGGCUUACUGGGCCAAUACUGACGCUGACGCACGAAUGCGUGGGGAGCAAACAGGAUUAGAUACACUG
This 700-nucleotide ribosomal RNA is filed under the name uncultured bacterium. RNAcentral's name for it is "bacterial SSU rRNA". It matches the Rfam family "Bacterial small subunit ribosomal RNA", at positions 42 to 789 of the family's 1533-position model. The record is from RNAcentral.